This 119-nucleotide ribosomal RNA is filed under the name Triticum aestivum (bread wheat). Lineage: Eukaryota; Viridiplantae; Streptophyta; Magnoliopsida; Poales; Poaceae. The record is from RNAcentral.
GGAUGCGAUCAUACCAGCACUAAAGCACCGGAUCCCAUCAAAACUCCAAAGUUAAGCGUGCUUGGGCGAGAGUAUUACUUGGAUGGGUGACCUCCUGGGAAGUCCUCGUGUUGCAUUCC